This 448-nucleotide long non-coding RNA is filed under the name Elaeis guineensis (African oil palm). RNAcentral describes it as "long non-coding RNA (EGUI_LNC073549)". The record is from RNAcentral. Lineage: Eukaryota; Viridiplantae; Streptophyta; Magnoliopsida; Arecales; Arecaceae.
GGGGCUUAAAUAGGCAACGGAGCCCGGCGCAGUUAUGGUGGCAGGUGUCCCUAGGCCAACCAGUGCCCACCAUGUGUCCCGCGUGUCCCACUCACCGCGACAUAGGGUUGACCGUUCGCAAAUUUUUAUGGCGUGACGCUUAGGAUCGCGUCCUGGUGGAAAUUUCGAAAAGACUUUUUGGGUCGCUAUAAUCGGAAAAAGGCUCCAGCACGCGCACAUUUAAUGCCAAAAUAUCUGGGGACGAUCGUGCACAGAAUUCAAAGGGGGUAACUUCGGCUGCGAAAUUUUCUCUGUACUUCAUUCGAAAUUCGAACUCGAAAGUAGGGGGACUGGUGUUGGGUAUAAAAUACCCCCCAGUCGAAGUUCGUGACGGGGGUGACCCUCCAGGGGAUCCAGCUGACAAGCUUCGUCCGGACUCCUAUGGGAGCCGAACUCCGUCUUCUACUUC